CAUUAAAGGGUUACAAGAAUAAUUUUUCUUGUUUUUCUCUCCAACACUGAUAAUUUUUUGUUACCAAAGAGAAAGUCCGUGUUACGUUGGGUAUUUUAGCUCAGCAUUUGCAGGGUUGCAGUUUGAAAAACCUGAGGUCCUGCCUGGACAAGGACCGCUGUUAAUAACGGAGCUAGUGAAGGACAUUUGCUGGAGACAGAGCUCUGAUCUCAGAGAGCUGACAAUGGAAAGAAUUCUAAACGAGCAGUUCUUCAAAAGCAGGGAGGCAGUACUCGGGUGAUGUGCUCACAGCUCCCAUAACUGGGAAGUUUGGAAUCCCCGCCCCAGACAUCUUCACGGUCACCGUUGCUAUUGGACUAGACCAACCUAAGAUGCACCAUUGCACUCCAGUCUAGGCGACAGAGCAAGACUCCGUCUCGAAAAAAAAAAAAAAGUAAUAGGUGAGUGAGGGAGGUGAGUGGAUCAAGGGCAAUAUGGAUGGCUUAAGUCUGAGUGAUCUCCAGUACAUUCCAGUAGAGGGGUCAAGGCUGGUGAGAAGCAUAACA
Molecule: long non-coding RNA, 545 nt
Filed under: Homo sapiens (human)
Lineage: Eukaryota; Metazoa; Chordata; Mammalia; Primates; Hominidae
Description: non-protein coding lnc-SULT4A1-1:1
Source: RNAcentral